This is an unclassified non-coding RNA of Macaca fascicularis (crab-eating macaque), 148 nucleotides long. It matches the Rfam family "Metazoan signal recognition particle RNA". Rfam says of the family: The signal recognition particle (SRP) is a universally conserved ribonucleoprotein. The record is from Ensembl. Lineage: Eukaryota; Metazoa; Chordata; Mammalia; Primates; Cercopithecidae.
GCCGGGCGCGGUGGCGGGCGCCUGUAGUCCUGGCUACUCGGGAGGCUGAGGCAGGAGAAUCGCUUGAACCCAGGAGGCGGAGCUUGCAGUGAGCUGAGAUCUGGUCACUGCACUCCUGCCUGGGUGACAGAGCGAGACUCCGUCUCAA